RNAcentral lists this ribosomal RNA (232 nucleotides) under uncultured bacterium. RNAcentral's name for it is "partial 16S ribosomal RNA". It matches the Rfam family "Bacterial small subunit ribosomal RNA", at positions 104 to 334 of the family's 1533-position model. The record is from RNAcentral.
CGGGGUGAGUAACGCGUGGAUAACCUGCCUCACACUGGGGGAUAACAGUUAGAGAUGGCUGCUAAUACCGCAUAAGCGCACAGUACCGCAUGGUACGGUGUGAAAAACCCAGGUGGUGUGAGAUGGAUCCGCGUCUGAUUAGCCAGUUGGCGGGGUAACGGCCCACCAAAGCGACGAUCAGUAGCCGACCUGAGAGGGUGACCGGCCACAUUGGGACUGAGACACGGCCCAA